AAGCGCUUGCAACCAGACUUGCACGUAGUUGAUCAUCCGGGGUUCUCCCCGGUGCACUUGGCUACGUUCAGGCCAGCAUCGGUUUCGGUGGUUGGAUAAAGGCCUAGGGAAUGUGGCUCUCUUCGGGGAGUGUUAUAGCCCAUUGUGUAAUACCCUGUGGUGGACUGAGGUUCGCGCAUCUGCAAGGAUGCUGGCGUAAUGGUCAUCAGCGA
RNAcentral lists this ribosomal RNA (212 nucleotides) under Hypocreales sp. Its description in RNAcentral is "partial large subunit ribosomal RNA". Lineage: Eukaryota; Fungi; Ascomycota; Sordariomycetes; Hypocreales. The record is from RNAcentral.